This 390-nucleotide unclassified non-coding RNA is filed under the name uncultured Arthrographis. RNAcentral's name for it is "sequence contains ITS2". The stretch from base 1 to 154 matches the Rfam family "5.8S ribosomal RNA". Lineage: Eukaryota; Fungi; Ascomycota; Dothideomycetes; Eremomycetales; Eremomycetaceae. The record is from RNAcentral.
AACUUUCGGCAAUGGAUCACUUGGUUCCGGCAUCGAUGAAGAACGCAGCGAAAUGCGAUAACUAAUGUGAAUUGCAGAAUUCCGUGAAUCAUCGAGUCUUUGAACGCAUAUUGCGCCCUCUGGUAUUCCGGGGGGCAUAUCUGUCCGAGCGUCAUUACAGCCCUAAAGCCCGGCUUUGUAUUGGAUAUAAGUUCUGCUCUGCGGGACCGGUCCGAAAGGUAUUAAUAACAUCGCGAUACCACAGAAUCGAGUGAAUGGAAUUCAUCUCUGCUCGUUAGAAGUGGCCGAUUGUCUUCUGGGUCAGUUGCUUCGGCAGCCCCCGUUUCAAUGGUUGACCUCGGAUCAGAUAAGGAUACCCGCUGAACUUAAGCAUAUCAAUAAGCGGAGGCU